RNAcentral lists this ribosomal RNA (497 nucleotides) under uncultured bacterium. Its description in RNAcentral is "partial 16S ribosomal RNA". It matches the Rfam family "Bacterial small subunit ribosomal RNA", at positions 28 to 507 of the family's 1533-position model. The record is from RNAcentral.
GAUGAACGCUGGCGGCGUGCCUAAUACAUGCAAGUCGAGCGAACGGACGAGAAGCUUGCUUUUCUGAUGUUAGCGGCGGACGGGUGAGUAACACGUGGAUAACCUACCUAUAAGACUGGGAUAACUUCGGGAAACCGGAGCUAAUACCGGAUAAUAUUUUGAACCGCAUGGUUCAAAAGUGAAAGGCGGUCCUGCUGUCACUUAUAGAUGGAUCCGCGCUGCAUUAGCUAGUUGGUAAGGUAACGGCUUACCAGGGCAACGAUGCAUAGCCGACCUGAGAGGGUGAUCGGCCACACUGGAACUGAGACACGGCCCAGACUCCUACGGGAGGCAGCAGUAGGGAAUCUUCCGCAAUGGGCGAAAGCCUGACGGAGCAACGCCGCGUGAGUGAUGAAGGUCUUCGGAUCGUAAAACUCUGUUAUUAGGGAAGAACAUAUGUGUAAGUAACUGUGCACAUCUUGACGGUACCUAAUCAGAAAGCCACGGCUAACUACGUG